UCCAGGGUAGCCUAGUGGUCAUGGCAUCUGCCCGGUAAGCGGAAGGUCGUGGGUUCGAUACCCAUCCUUUGACA
Molecule: transfer RNA, 74 nt
Filed under: Cordylochernes scorpioides
Lineage: Eukaryota; Metazoa; Arthropoda; Arachnida; Pseudoscorpiones; Chernetidae
Description: tRNA-Thr
Rfam family: tRNA
About the family: Transfer RNA (tRNA) molecules are approximately 80 nucleotides in length. Their secondary structure includes four short double-helical elements and three loops (D, anti-codon, and T loops). Further hydrogen bonds mediate the characteristic L-shaped molecular structure. tRNAs have two regions of fundamental functional importance: the anti-codon, which is responsible for specific mRNA codon recognition, and the 3' end, to which the tRNAs corresponding amino acid is attached (by aminoacyl-tRNA synthetases). tRNAs cope with the degeneracy of the genetic code in two manners: having more than one tRNA (with a specific anti-codon) for a particular amino acid; and 'wobble' base-pairing, i.e. permitting non-standard base-pairing at the 3rd anti-codon position.
Source: RNAcentral